Schizosaccharomyces pombe (fission yeast) is the source of this 814-nucleotide non-coding RNA. The record is from the annotation of a GenBank genome assembly. NCBI's taxonomy places the organism in Eukaryota, Fungi, Ascomycota, Schizosaccharomycetes, Schizosaccharomycetales, Schizosaccharomycetaceae.
UGUCGAAUCAUUGAAGGUCUCAGAAAUUUGUAGAAUAAGAAAAAUAGAUACAAUCAAGCGAUGAGUUCCAAAAAAAAUUACAAAGAAAAUCGUAUUUAUAGUAUUGAUUUUGAUCAGAAUAGCGAUUCUGUCUUUAUUUUCGCUUUUUACGUUUCAUGAGAUGACGGUUGUUUGGGCUCACGAAUCAUACCGGGACUUUCUCUAAUUAGUUCACCGGUAUCCUCGUCGACCAAAUUCGCUAUAACGGAUGUUUUAUAUCCCAAGUGCUCAUACAUUUUGAAGGCCAUUUUACUAGCCAUAAGGAAGCAUGGAAUUUGAUAUUCAUCGGCCAAGUCAUGAGCCAUGUCCAAAAGAUAGCCACCGACACCAUUCCCUUGAAGAGCAGGAUCAACACAAACAAAAUGGAUGUGGAUAAAUCCUUUAGGAUUCUUCAGCAAUCCAGUUUUAUAAAGAGCAGCUCCGUAUUGCAAUUCAUUAUAGUGGAAUCGUUUUUGUACAAUUUGCGCACCAUACCACCAAUACAAAAAAUUGCUGUAGUACUUGUUUAAGCUUUUCAAAAUCCAGUCUCUAUAAGAGACGUUAGGGUCAGGCGGGAAUUUUUUAAAGGCCAAAAAUCCAACGUACGGGUUGGAAUCGGUAUACGCGACUAUGCAAGUUACAUGUGGAUCAAAAUACGCAUCUCGAGUCAGCUGCAUGGUUAAUGCUUUCAUCGUUUCAGAAGACAUUCCUUUGAACCUCCAUUUCCAAGUCGCACUGUCGCUAAACGCCAACAAACUAACUUCCGUUACCCUUUCGAUGUCAUUGAAUUGCAAGG